AGGAUGGGCAUGCGGCGCAUUAGCUGGUUGGCGGGGUAACGGCCCACCAAGGCGACGAUGCGUAGGGGUUCUGAGAGGAAGGUCCCCCACACUGGUACUGAGACACGGACCAGACUCCUACGGGAGGCAGCAGUGAGGAAUAUUGGUCAAUGGGCGGGAGCCUGAACCAGCCAAGUCGCGUGAGGGAAGACGGUCCUAUGGAUUGUAAACCUCUUUAGGCGGGGAGCAAUGCCGGGCACGCGUGCCCGGAGGGAGAGUACCCGCAGAAUAAGCAUCGGCUAACUCCGUGCCAGCAGCCGCGGUAAUACGGAGGAUGCGAGCGUUAUCCGGAUUUAUUGGGUUUAAAGGGUGCGUAGGCGGAUUUUUAAGUCAGCGGUAAAAUGUCCGGGCUCAACCCGGGCCGGCCGUUGAAACUGGGGAUCUUGAGUGGGCGAGAAGUAUGCGGAAUGCGUGGUGUAGCGGUGAAAUGCAUAGAUAUCACGCAGAACUCCGAUUGCGAAGGCAGCAUACCGGCGCCCGACUGACGCUGAGGCACGAAAGCGUGGGGAUCGAACAGGAUUAGAUACCCUGGUAGUCCACGCAGUAAACGAUGAAUGCUAGUUGUCCGGUUCUUUGGGACUGGGUGAC
RNAcentral lists this ribosomal RNA (627 nucleotides) under uncultured bacterium. RNAcentral's name for it is "bacterial SSU rRNA". It matches the Rfam family "Bacterial small subunit ribosomal RNA", at positions 222 to 847 of the family's 1533-position model. The record is from RNAcentral.